CAGCCGCCGCGGUAAUACGAAGGGGGCUAGCGUUGUUCGGAAUUACUGGGCGUAAAGCGCACGUAGGCGGACAUUUAAGUCAGGGGUGAAAUCCCGGGGCUCAACCCCGGAACUGCCUUUGAUACUGGGUGUCUAGAGUAUGGAAGAGGUGAGUGGAAUUCCGAGUGUAGAGGUGAAAUUCGUAGAUAUUCGGAGGAACACCAGUGGCGAAGGCGGCUCACUGGUCCAUUACUGACGCUGAGGUGCGAAAGCGUGGGGAGCAAACAGGAUUAGAUACCCGGGUAGUCCCUGUCUCUUAUAC
This 301-nucleotide ribosomal RNA is filed under the name uncultured bacterium. Its description in RNAcentral is "partial 16S ribosomal RNA". It matches the Rfam family "Bacterial small subunit ribosomal RNA", at positions 509 to 807 of the family's 1533-position model. The record is from RNAcentral.